RNAcentral lists this ribosomal RNA (404 nucleotides) under uncultured bacterium. RNAcentral describes it as "partial 16S ribosomal RNA". It matches the Rfam family "Bacterial small subunit ribosomal RNA", at positions 30 to 526 of the family's 1533-position model. The record is from RNAcentral.
AUUGAACGCUGGCGGCAGGCCUAACACAUGCAAGUCGAGCGAGCGGCGGACGUGUGAGUCAUGCCUGGGAAUUGCCCAGUCGAGGGGGAUAACAGUUGGAAACGACUGCUCAUACCGCAUACGAUUGACUUGCCCAGGUGGGAUUAGCUAGUUGGUGAGGUAAUAGCUCACCAAGGCAAAGAUCCCUAGCUGGUCUGAGAGGAUGAUCAGCCACAGUGGAACUGAGACACGGUCCAGACUCCUACGGGAGGCAGCAGUGGGGAAUAUUGCAAAAUGGGGGAAACCCUGAUGCAGCAGUGCCGGGUGUGUGAAGAGGGCCUGCGGGUUGUAAAGCACUUUCAGCGAGGAGGCGUUACUCGCAGAAGAAGCACCGGCUAACUCCGUGCCAGCAGCCGCGGUAAUAC